This 5572-nucleotide long non-coding RNA is filed under the name Ananas comosus (pineapple). Its description in RNAcentral is "long non-coding RNA (ACOM_LNC017560)". Lineage: Eukaryota; Viridiplantae; Streptophyta; Magnoliopsida; Poales; Bromeliaceae. The record is from RNAcentral.
AACUAUGUACAUAAACUCGAAACAAAACAUCUACCUACAGUAGGGCACCUCUAGCUCAGCACGUCGGGUAGGGCUCUAACUCGCGACGCCCUUGCCUCGAUCCUGAUCCACGGACGGUGCAGCAGCCGGAACCUGUGGCUCUGCAAAAACAUAGGUAACAACUGGGCGUGAGAACUACUGUAAAAACAAGUAGUCCUCAGUGGGUACCGCCCAAAACAACAUCGGUCACCCACUAAGUCUACAGAAGGGAGCAAGGAUAGAAGGAAAAGCAGGAAGUACACUCUACCGCUAUCAUCCACUACACUAUCAUGCUCUACACUAACCAACUGUAGGAAAUGUCAAAUCUGACCCAAUCCAAAUCGGGACUGUAAGCAUACCCGUCCCCGGGACUGUGAAUACACCCGUCCCUGCCCCGUUGCGACUAUCGGGCUCUAUCCACUCUAACUGGUCCGUGGAGAGCAAGUCCAACUGGCAUGAGCGACACCAACGCGAAAGCACAAGCCUGACUCCGGAGUGGCACUCGUGGGCGCUACCCAACCGAGUAUGCAGCGUAUCUCUGUCGAGCUCAAACAGGCUCUGGAAAGCCAAAGUCAAGAAACCGACUCUAAACUGGUCUAACAACCAACAGGUAACGUGCCCUCGGCACAAUCUGACGCCAAAAAGGCGAUACGGGUCCACCGUCAACUCUGACGGCACCCAACAGUCCGAAAUAACCUGAACGACCCGGUAAAAAUCCACUCGGCGAACCAGCACGAGUGUAAAUAUAUUCUAAACUACCUGGAGUACUCGUCUCGACAAUACUGCGACAGUACACUUUUCUAACGGCUUCUAGAGCUAAAUUAGGCAGUUUAUACAGGUGACAGGUCCAAAUCGCAAGUUUUCUCCUAAUUCAAUUUCCAAGUUCAACAUGUAUAAUCUACUUAAUUUAAAAUAAACAUGCUUCAAAAUUCAGAUUUCACAAUCUACAUAUAGUCCAUGAAUUUGAGCUAAAAUUAAUUACCGAAAUCAAGAUCUAUACAUGUCGACCAAUAAGAACUUAGGAGUAAAGCCGAUGUAACCCACCAAAAAAGCUAAUCCCUGGCAGCGAGGGACUCCUCCUGGUGUAGAGCAACCUGCUGGAUCACCCGGAACCCGCCGAGUACAGAAAUCGCCUAAGCUCGAGCUCUACGCAACAAAAUUCACCAAUUCAGUCCAGAAAUUUCAGCGGUGAGGUACAACAGGGAUUCGACCAAGCUAACCUUCACCAAAUCCAGCAAGUAAGGGCUUCGUGGAUUCCUCUCGAAGUCCUGAAUCCAACAAGCCAAGUCUCGUCGCAAUCCGAUGCUCCUACGUCGAGAACGAGCCAAAAUACCGACAGUCGACGAAGAAAUCUGCAGCAGUGGCACCCGAGCCCGAAAAUGAUGAAAUUGAAGUACUUGGAGGGAUGCCCACAGGUAAAAAUACGACAACCAGUACCUUGAAGCAGCACGACGUCAAAGAUGGCGAAAAAAACAACUCGCCCGACCUCCUCGCAGCAACACGACGACGGAAGUAUGCUCGAACGGCUCCGCGGCGCGACGUCGGCGACGAAUCCGAGCUCCCUCUUGCCUUCAACCGGAUGAGGGAGUUAGAGAGAUGGAUAAAAGCAGCUAGAAGACCUCUCUCACUCUCUCCACACGAAGCUAUAUAGAGGGGAGUGAGGGGUGAUACAAGCGAGGGAGAGAAAAUUACUCAUUUAGCCCUCUACCUACCCUCUUGUACCGGUACACGGGCUCCUGUACCGGUACAAGAGCCAACCUGAGAGCAGCUAAGUUCGGUGCGCGCAUCCUGUACCGGUACAGCAACCCCUUGUACCGGUACAACAAGCAGUCCUGCGAUGGUUGUACCGGUACAGCCUGCCCUUGUACCGGUACAGCGAGCAGAAAAUCCUGCUGUUUCGCAGAUUCUCUCGCAGAAUGCUGCCCUCGCAUUGCACGGAGUCCGUUUUGCGCCUAUUUGACGCCAACGCGACUCGGACCUGUCCCGACAAUCUUCAGAGCUGUCGACAAGCCUCCAGUCAAACACCAGAGAUCUCACAUCCUCCCCCUCUAUAAAAAGUUUCGUCCGCAAAACUGAACAUACCUCUACUCAAGCAUCAAACAAGUAGGGAUAGGCUUUCCUCAUCACCGUCUCAGACUCCCAAGUCGCCUCCCGCUCAUCAUGAUUACUCCACUGCACUUUCACAUACGGAAUGACCCGGUUGCGCAAUUCUCUCGUCUCACGAGCAAGAAUCCGCAACGGCCGCUCCUCGUAUCUCAGAUCCUCGCCAAUCUCAAGUGGAGUGAAGUCAAUCACAUGAGAGGGAUCGAAAACGUAUCUCCUCAAUGCUGAGACGUGGAAAACAUCAUGGAUGCCAGCAGGUCGCGGGGGUAGAGCUAUCCUGUAAGCCACCGGUCCGAUACGCUCCAAUACCUCGAAAGGACCAACAAAUCGUGGACUAAGCUUCCCACGUACUCCAAAUCGGCGUAUCCCUCUGGACGGCGAGAUUUUGAGAAAAACAUGAUCCCCAACCUGAAACUCCAAGUCUCGUCUCCGAGUAUCAGCGUAGCUCCUCUGUCGGCUCUGAGCUGUCAAAAGGUGUCGUCGAACGACUCUCACCUUUUCCUCAGCCUCAAGUAGAAUCUCUGGUCCAAGUGUCCUCCGCUCACCCACAUCACUCCAAAACAGGGGGGAUCGACAUCUGCGUCCAUACAACGCCUCAAACGGAGCCAUCUGAAUGCUCGUUUGAUAGCUGUUGUUGUACGCAAACUCAACCAGUCUCACAUGUCGAUACCACCCUCCUCCAAAAUCCAGGACGCAUGCCCUCAGCAUGUCCUCUAGAGUCUGUAUGGUCCGCUCUGACUGACCAUCUGUCUGUGGGUGGAACGCCGUGCUAAAAUGCAGCUGUGUACCCAAGGCUGUCUGCAAACUCCUCCAAAACUGGGAUACAAACCUCGGGUCUCUGUCUGAUACAAUCGACACUGGCACGCCGUGCAGCCUAACGAUCUCAUCCAAGUAUAGCUGCGCAAGUCUCUCCCUGGACCAGGUAGUCUGAACCGGUAGGAAGUGAGCAGACUUGGUCAGUCUGUCCACUAUCACCCAAAUCGCGUCGUAGCCACCCUGCGCUCUAGGCAAUCCAACGACGAAGUCCAUCGUGAUGUGCUCCCACUUCCACUCGGGAACUGGCAGACUCUGAAGCUUGCCAGCAGGCACCUGAUGCUCGGCCUUCACCUGUUGGCAAGUCAAACACUGAGCCACAUAUCUGCCAAUGUCCCGCUUCAUUCCAGGCCACCAGAAUCGUGCCUUAAGAUCCUUAUACAUCUUGGUUCCCCCAGGAUGAACCGUAUAAGGGGAACAAUGAGCCUCUCUCAGAAUAUCCGCUCGAAUCUCCGGAUCCACAGGCACACACAGUCGGUCCCUGUACCGUAGUACUCCCGAACUGUCCAAAGCAAAUCCCUCAGCCUGCCCCCUGUCUAGCUGCUCUCUAAUCCUCAACAAGUACGGAUCUCCACUCUGUUUCUCUCGGAUCCUAUCCAACAGAGUGGGCUGUAAAACUAGAGACGUCAGCCUCGCCGUAGACCCAGGGGGUACUAUCUCGAGUCCCAGCCGCUGUAGCUCCUCGAGUAGGGGUCUCUGCUCAGUAAUCCUCAAACUCAGGCUCUGCACUGACUUCCUGCUCAACGCAUCUGCCACCACAUUCGCCCUGCCGGGAUGAUACUGAAUACUAAUGUCAUAGUCCUUCAGUAACUCCAACCACCGGCGCUGCCUCAGAUUCAGCUCCCUCUGUGUGAACAGAUACUUGAGACUUUGAUGAUCGGUGAAUACCUCGCAGUGCUCGCCGUACAAGUAAUGCCGCCAGAGCUUCAAAGCAAAAACCACCGCGGCAAGCUCCAAAUCAUGCGUAGGGUAAUUCUUCUCAUAAUCCUUUAACUGCCGUGAAGCAUAAGCAAUCACCCUACCAUGCUGCAUCAGCACGCAACCAAGUCCACUGUGCGAUGCAUCACUGUAGAUCACGAAUCCAUCCCCCAUCACCGGAAGGGCAAGGAUAGGAGCCGACGUCAACCUCAGUCUCAACUCGUCAAAGCUCCUCUGACAGUCGUCGCUCCAGACAAAACGAAUCCCCUUCCGCGUCAAGCGUGUGAGGGGUGUGGAAAGCUUCGCAAAGCCUUCCACAAACCGACGGUAAUAUCCUGCCAGUCCCAGGAAGCUCCGUACCUCAGUCACCGUCGUCGGUCUAGGCCAAUCUCGAAUCGCCUCAAUCUUCUUCGGGUCCACUGCUACGCCCUCAGCUGAAAUCACGUGGCCCAAGAAAGCAACCUCCCGUAGCCAGAACUCGCACUUCUUUAACUUGGCAUACAACUUCUUCUCGCGCAGAAGCUGUAGCACAAUCCUCAAGUGCUCCUCAUGCUCAGCAUCACUCCGGGAGUAAAUCAGGAUAUCGUCGAUGAAGACUACCACAAACCUAUCCAAGAACGGCUUGAACACUCUGUUCAUCAAAUCCAUGAAUGCGGCAGGGGCAUUCGUCAAUCCAAAAGGCAUCACCGUGAACUCAUAAUGCCCGUACCGAGUCCGAAAAGCCGUCUUGGGAACAUCCUCGGCCCUCACCCUCAGCUGGUGGUAACCUGACUGGAGAUCAAUCUUCGAGAAGACAUAAGAUCCCUGCAGCUGAUCAAACAAAUCAUCAAUGCGCGGCAAGGGAUACUUAUUCUUGAUGGUCACUUUAUUCAGCUCCCGGUAAUCCACACAUAACCUGAGCGAACCAUCCUUCUUCUUUACAAAUAACACCGGCGCUCCCCAAGGCGACACACUGGGUCUCACAAACCCUCUAUCCAUCAGAUCCUGAAGUUGCGCCUUUAGCUCUCUCAGCUCUGCCGGUGCCAUCCUGUAAGGUACCUUUGAGAUUGGUGCAGUUCCAGGAACUACAUCAAUCACAAACUCAAUCUCCCUCUCCGGCGGCAACGUCGUCAACUCAGGGGGAAACACAUCCGGAAACUCGCGGACUACUGGGAUGUCCUCGAGUCCCGGCGCCGCCGUAGGUACCUCCACAACUGUCGCUAGGAAAGCGAUACACCCACUGCUCAGCAUCUGUCGAGCCCUCGCCGAAGAUAUCCAGGUGGCAAACAGCGUGCUCCUGCAGCCUCUGAAAGUAAACUCCUCCUGGCCUGGCUCGCGGAACGUCACCGUCCUCGCUCCACAGUCGAUCGUAGCAUAGUACCGCGCCAGCCAAUCCAUACCGAGCACUACGUCGAAGUCCUGCAGCUGCCCUAACACCAACAGGUCUGCGGGCAUGAUCCAAGAGUCUAACUGCACCGGACAGGACCAACAACACUCUGUAACCUGCAAGACAUGGUCGGGGAUCUGCACCUCUCGUGCCUGAGACAACGCUCCUAACUCUAGACCAUGCAACAAUGCAAAUGCUCGGCUAACAAAGGAAUGCGAUGCACCGGUAUCAAAAAGAGUGCGAACUCUAAUGCCAGAAAUCAAAGUGAUACCUGCCACCACUCGGUCGGCUGCUGAAGAGUCCUCCACCUGAGCUGCAUAGACCCUGCCACUCGGAGCCUGCUGUCGCCGCUCA